UGACAGUGCUCGAUCAGGCCGAGUCGACGGUAUAGAUGGUUUUGUUGAUAAUACGGGCACAGAAACCAUACAGACUGUGCAACAAUGCGGGCUGCAGACAUGUGAGGCCAGAUGGGCAUGACCAACUGGGGCAUGAUACUGGACCAGUAGUGGCAACAAUGCGGGCUGAAGACAUGUGAGGCCAGAUGGACAGGACCAACUGGGUCAUGAUACUGGACCAGAUGCUGUCAAACUGGACUUAAAGAAACCUUAGAUACAUGUUGAAGACAAGGCACAUUUUGCCGAGAACUGUAUGUGUGUGAAACAAAAGAGAGUACCAACAUUUUCUGAGGGUAUCGUACGUCAUGAUGUUGUCAGAUCUCUUGUACCUGUACCAACCAGCGGCUGUGCAGACAGACAAGUGAUAUUUUGUCUGUAGUUUCCUUCCUUGUGGAUAUCAUUUUCAAACGGACAGGCUGUCAGUACAGGGUCUGUACCCAGUCUACAGCGCUGUGAUUCGAUACUAACGUAUUCCUGGAUGACAUUUGAUGACCUGUGCAGAGACUUUGUGAAUUGUGUGGAAGGUGUGCGAGUGUGAUAUGUGUAUAAUUUGUAUGUAUUCUGCUUUAUUUUGUGUUGUAUAUAUAAAUUUAGCAUUUUGUUGAA
Mizuhopecten yessoensis (Yesso scallop) is the source of this 645-nucleotide long non-coding RNA. RefSeq lists it as uncharacterized. The transcript is spliced from 2 exons. NCBI's taxonomy places the organism in Eukaryota, Metazoa, Mollusca, Bivalvia, Pectinida, Pectinidae. The record is from RefSeq and is a predicted model, not a curated record.